Molecule: ribosomal RNA, 253 nt
Filed under: uncultured bacterium
Lineage: Bacteria
Description: partial 16S ribosomal RNA
Rfam family: Bacterial small subunit ribosomal RNA
Source: RNAcentral
UACGAAGGGGGCUAGCGUUGCUCGGAAUCACUGGGCGUAAAGCGCACGUAGGCGGCUUGUUAAGUCAGGGGUGAAAUCCUGGAGCUCAACUCCAGAACUGCCCUUGAUACUGGCGAUCUUGAGUCCGGAAGAGGUGAGUGGAACUCCGAGUGUAGAGGUGAAAUUCGUAGAUAUUCGGAAGAACACCAGUGGCGAAGGCGGCUCACUGGUCCGGUACUGACGCUGAGGUGCGAAAGCGUGGGGAGCAAACAGG